RNAcentral lists this long non-coding RNA (271 nucleotides) under Solanum tuberosum (potato). Its description in RNAcentral is "long non-coding RNA (STUB_LNC008259)". Lineage: Eukaryota; Viridiplantae; Streptophyta; Magnoliopsida; Solanales; Solanaceae. The record is from RNAcentral.
UAAUAGCAUCAUGCUUCUUGAUAACAUCAACAGGAGCAUGACCUAACCUUUUGUGCCAUACAUCUAUAGACUCAGAGUUUGUAACUGAGUUAACAAAACUAACAGAAGACUUGACAGUAGACUCAACAAAAUGAACAUGACUGCUACUCCUAUUGACCAGCUGUUUUGGAGCUUGACUUGGUCCUUCAUGUAGGAUAUAGAGUCCAUGCUCUUCUUUACCAAUCCCCUUCACCUGACCAGUGUAAAGGUCCUGAAACACACAAAAGUCAGG